RNAcentral lists this ribosomal RNA (468 nucleotides) under uncultured bacterium. RNAcentral describes it as "partial 16S ribosomal RNA". It matches the Rfam family "Bacterial small subunit ribosomal RNA", at positions 28 to 507 of the family's 1533-position model. The record is from RNAcentral.
GACGAACGCUGGCGGCGUGCUUAACACAUGCAAGUCGAACGGAAAGUCCCUGCUUUGUGGGGGUGCUCGAGUUACGAACUGGUGAGUAACACUUGGGUAACCUGCCCUUGACUUUGGGAUAACUUCAUGAAACUGGGUGUAAUAGCGGAUAGGAGCUCCUGCUGCAUGGUGGGGGUUGGAAGGUUUCGGCGGUUGGGGAUGGACUCGCGGCUUAUCAGCUUGUUGGUGUGGUAGUGGGUUACCAAGGCUUUGACGCGUAGCAGGGCUGAUAGGGUGACAUGACACAUCGGGACUGAAAUGCGGCACAGCCUCCUACGCGAGGGAGCAGUGGGGUAUAUUGCAUUAUGGGCUGAAGCAUAAUGCAGCAAAGCAGCGCGGCGUAUGACGGCAAUCGGUUUGUAAUCUGCUUUCGCCUGUCACGAAGCGUGAAUGACAGUAAUGGGUAAAGAAGCACCGGCUAACUACGUG